Molecule: ribosomal RNA, 253 nt
Filed under: uncultured bacterium
Lineage: Bacteria
Description: partial 16S ribosomal RNA
Rfam family: Bacterial small subunit ribosomal RNA
Source: RNAcentral
UACGUAGGGCGCAAGCGUUGUCCGGAAUUAUUGGGCGUAAAGAGCUCGUAGGCGGUCUGUUGCGUCCGCUGUGAAAACCCGGGGCUUAACCCUGGGCUGGCAGUGGAUACGGACAGACUAGAGGUAGGUAGGGGAGAAUGGAAUUCCCGGUGUAGCGGUGAAAUGCGCAGAUAUCGGGAGGAACACCGGUGGCGAAGGCGGUUCUCUGGGCAUUACCUGACGCUGAGGAGCGAAAGUGUGGGGAGCGAACAGG